This 253-nucleotide ribosomal RNA is filed under the name uncultured Eubacteriales bacterium. RNAcentral describes it as "uncultured Clostridiales bacterium partial 16S ribosomal RNA". It matches the Rfam family "Bacterial small subunit ribosomal RNA", at positions 524 to 776 of the family's 1533-position model. Lineage: Bacteria; Bacillati; Bacillota; Clostridia; Eubacteriales. The record is from RNAcentral.
UACGUAGGGGGCAAGCGUUAUCCGGAUUUACUGGGUGUAAAGGGAGCGUAGACGGUACGCCAAGUCUGAAGUGAAAUGCCGCAGCUUAACUGCGGAACUGCUUUGGAAACUGGCGGGCUAGAGUGCGGGAGGGGUAAGCGGAAUUCCUAGUGUAGCGGUGAAAUGCGUAGAUAUCACGAAGAACCCCGAUUGCGAAGGCAGCCUGCCGCAGCGUUACUGACGCUGAAGCUCGAAAGCGCGGGUAUCGAACAGG